RNAcentral lists this transfer RNA (71 nucleotides) under Myxococcales bacterium. Its description in RNAcentral is "tRNA-Gln". It matches the Rfam family "tRNA". From Rfam's summary of the family: Transfer RNA (tRNA) molecules are approximately 80 nucleotides in length. Their secondary structure includes four short double-helical elements and three loops (D, anti-codon, and T loops). The record is from RNAcentral. Lineage: Bacteria; Pseudomonadati; Myxococcota; Myxococcia; Myxococcales.
UCCGGAGUCGUCUAAAGGCAGGACAUAGGACUUUGAAUCCUAGAAUGAUGGUUCGAAUCCAUCCUCCGGAA